AACGCAACUUGCGCCUGCUUGCGGGCGUGUCUGGCUGAGGGUCGCAAAAACAUGAUGGGUAGAUGUAACAGAUAAAUGUAACGUCUACUCCUCGGUCUGGCGCCGUGUGCAAACACACCCUGCUGAAACCGCGCACGCGGCCGGCAGCGCGGCCCGAGUGUCAGGCACCACUGGUGUGAUCUCGGAGCGCAUGCCGCCAAGCAACAAAACAGAACAGAACAAAACAACAUCUUCGGACCUCAGCUCAGGCAGGACUACCCGCUGAACUUAA
Molecule: unclassified non-coding RNA, 271 nt
Filed under: uncultured soil eukaryote
Lineage: Eukaryota
Description: sequence contains 5.8S rRNA gene, ITS2, 28S rRNA gene
Source: RNAcentral